CUUCCACAAUGGGCGCAAGCCUGAUGGAGCAACACCGCGUGAGUGAAGAAGGGUUUCGGCUCGUAAAGCUCUGUUGUUAAAGAAGAACACGUAUGAGAGUAACUGUUCAUACGUUGACGGUAUUUAACCAGAAAGUCACGGCUAACUACGUGCCAGCAGCCGCGGUAAUACGUAGGUGGCAAGCGUUAUCCGGAUUUAUUGGGCGUAAAGAGAGUGCAGGCGGUUUUCUAAGUCUGAUGUGAAAGCCUUCGGCUUAACCGGAGAAGUGCAUCGGAAACUGGAUAACUUGAGUGCAGAAGAGGGUAGUGGAACUCCAUGUGUAGCGGUGGAAUGCGUAGAUAUAUGGAAGAACACCAGUGGCGAAGGCGGCUACCUGGUCUGCAACUGACGCUGAGACUCGAAAGCAUGGGUAGCGAACAGGAUUAGAUACCCUGGUAGUCCAUGCCGUAAACGAUGAGUGCUAGGUGUUGGAGGGUUUCCGCCCUUCAGUGCCGGAGCUAACGCAUUAAGCACUCCGCCUGGGGAGUACGACCGCAAGGUUGAAACUCAAAGGAAUUGACGGGGGCCCGCACAAGCGGUGGAGCAUGUGGUUUAAUUCGAAGCUACGCGAAGAACCUUACCAGGUCUUGACAUCUUGCGCCAACCCUAGAGAUAGGGCGUUUCCUUCGGGAACGCAAUGACAGGUGGUGCAUGGUCGUCGUCAGCUCGUGUCGUGAGAUGUUGGGUUAAGUCCCGCAACGAGCGCAACCCUUGUUACUAGUUGCCAGCAUUAAGUUGGGCACUCUAGUGAGACUGCCGGUGACAAACCGGAGGAAGGUGGGGACGACGUCAGAUCAUCAUGCCCCUUAUGACCUGGGCUACACACGUGCUACAAUGGACGGUACAACGAGUCGCGAACUCGCGAGGGCAAGCAAAUCUCUUAAAACCGUUCUCAGUUCGGACUGCAGGCUGCAACUCGCCUGCACGAAGUCGGAAUCGCUAGUAAUCGCGGAUCAGCAUGCCGCGGUGAAUACGUUCCCGGGCCUUGUACACACCGCCCGUCACAC
Molecule: ribosomal RNA, 1046 nt
Filed under: Limosilactobacillus fermentum
Lineage: Bacteria; Bacillati; Bacillota; Bacilli; Lactobacillales; Lactobacillaceae
Description: bacterial SSU rRNA
Rfam family: Bacterial small subunit ribosomal RNA
Source: RNAcentral